This 1523-nucleotide ribosomal RNA is filed under the name Klebsiella sp. KG1. RNAcentral's name for it is "bacterial SSU rRNA". It matches the Rfam family "Bacterial small subunit ribosomal RNA". The record is from RNAcentral. Lineage: Bacteria; Pseudomonadati; Pseudomonadota; Gammaproteobacteria; Enterobacterales; Enterobacteriaceae.
AUCCUGGCUCAAAUUGAACGCUGGCGGCAGGCCUAACACAUGCAAGUNGAGCGGUAGCACAGAGAGCUUGCUCUCGGGUGACGAGCGGCGGACGGGUGAGUAAUGUCUGGNAAACUGCCUGAUGGAGGGGGAUAACUACUGGAAACGGUAGCUAAUACCGCAUAACGUCGCAAGACCAAAGUGGGGGACCUUCGGGCCUCAUGCCAUCAGAUGUGCCCAGAUGGGAUUAGCUGGUAGGUGGGGUAACGGCUCACCUAGGCGACGAUCCCUAGCUGGUCUGANAGGAUGACCAGCCACACUGGAACUGAGACACGGUCCAGACUCCUACGGGAGGCAGCAGUGGGAAUAUUGCACAAUGGGCGCAAGCCUGAUGCAGCCAUGCCGCGUGUGUGAAGAAGGCCUUCGGGUUGUAAAGCACUUUCAGCGGGGAGGAAGGCGGUGAGGUUAAUAACCUCAUCGAUUGACGUUACCCGCAGAAGAAGCACCGGCUAACUCCGUGCCAGCAGCCGCGGUAAUACGGAGGGUGCAAGCGUUAAUCGGAAUUACUGGGCGUAAAGCGCACGCAGGCGGUCUGUCAAGUCGGAUGUGAAAUCCCCGGGCUCAACCUGGGAACUGCAUUCGAAACUGGCAGGCUAGAGUCUUGUAGAGGGGGGUAGAAUUCCAGGUGUAGCGGUGAAAUGCGUAGAGAUCUGGAGGAAUACCGGUGGCGAAGGCGGCCCCCUGGACAAAGACUGACGCUCAGGUGCGAAAGCGUGGGGAGCAAACAGGAUUAGAUACCCUGGUAGUCCACGCUGUAAACGAUGUCGAUUUGGAGGUUGUGCCCUUGAGGCGUGGCUUCCGGAGCUAACGCGUUAAAUCGACCGCCUGGGGAGUACGGCCGCAAGGUUAAAACUCAAAUGAAUUGACGGGGGCCCGCACAAGCGGUGGAGCAUGUGGUUUAAUUCGAUGCAACGCGAAGAACCUUACCUGGUCUUGACAUCCACAGAACUUUGCAGAGAUGGAUUGGUGCCUUCGGGAACUGUGAGACAGGUGCUGCAUGGCUGUCGUCAGCUCGUGUUGUGAAAUGUUGGGUUAAGUCCCGCAACGAGCGCAACCCUUAUCCUUUGUUGCCAGCGGUUCGGCCGGGAACUCAAAGGAGACUGCCAGUGAUAAACUGGAGGAAGGUGGGGAUGACGUCAAGUCAUCAUGGCCCUUACGACCAGGGCUACACACGUGCUACAAUGGCAUAUACAAAGAGAAGCGACCUCGCGAGAGCAAGCGGACCUCAUAAAGUAUGUCGUAGUCCGGAUUGGAGUCUGCAACUCGACUCCAUGAAGUCGGAAUCGCUAGUAAUCGUAGAUCAGAAUGCUACGGUGAAUACGUUCCCGGGCCUUGUACACACCGCCCGUCACACCAUGGGAGUGGGUUGCAAAAGAAGUAGGUAGCUUAACCUUCGGGAGGGCGCUUACCACUUUGUGAUUCAUGACUGGGGUGAAGUCGUAACAAGGUAACCGUAGGGGAACCUGCGGCUGGAUCACCUCCUU